AUGAGUACAUCUCUUCCUCCUCUCCUCCUGGAGCGACCGCUGGCGUUAGUCUUUUGGCUUGGGCAGCAGAAUGAGCCUCUCCUCCUCGAGCGACCGCUGGCGUUGCACGCCGCGCAUGGCGUUCUUGGCGAACCUCGACACGAGGAACGCUGUCGUGAUCUGGCUCGACGACGACGCAGACGCCAUCUCGGCGGCGUACAUCUCUUCCUCCUCUCGCCUCCGUUGCUCUGCCGCCUUCCGCUUCUCGUACCUCCUCCACGCGGCCUGGAUGAAGCACGACGCCCAGGUGCGCCACUGCUGCGAGUAGAACCUGAAGGUCUGCUGCAAUUGCUUGCUGUGCAGGCGCCGGAACUGCCCCGCGACGAACUUAAGCUCAUCGGCGUGCAACGCGAAGCCCUCCACCUCGGAGAGCGCCUUGACACUACGAGUGGACAGCGGCAGGUUCGCCGCAGCCUUUGGGUCCAGCGCCCAUGUGAGGAGCUCCUCGCCGCAGAAGUCCCCUUCCUUGAGGAGCCCCUUGUUGAAGAACCCCGUGCGGCCCCCGUCGGUGGUGGAGCUCUCGAGCCGGCCUCUGAUGAUGAAGAGCAUCUCGUCGACGGGCUCCCCUUCCCGCACCACGUAGGUGGUCUCCGUGCACAGGCUGGGCUUGAGCCUCUCGCAGAUGGCGUCGAGGAGGCGCUCGUCCAUGUUGGCGAAGAGCGGCACGCGACGGACGAGGCGGAGGCAGAGGUGGCGCUUGACGUCCCGCCGGAUGUCCUUGGGGAGGCAGCUCACGAGGCCGUCCUCGUCCACGCCCCGCGUCUCCAGCCACUUGUACUGGUUGUGUCGCCACACACGCUCCCGGAGGUCAUCGGGGAGGUGGCGGUGGCGCAUCCACUCCUCCGAGUCCCGCCGCUUGAGCCGCAUCUCCUCCAUACGCAGAGUCAUGGACUGGAGGUACGUCUGCAUGUUGCCGAUGAGCAGCGCCAUGAGGAUGAGGCCGAAGACGGCGAGGAUGAUGGCGAAAAGGGCCUCCCCCUUGUAGUGCGUGGUCUCCAGCCCCUGGGCGCCGCUGCUGAGGUUCUGGAGACCCCACCACAGGCAGUAGAGAAUCUUCGGGACGAGAUCAUUAGUGUGGGUGACCCCUGA
RNAcentral lists this ribosomal RNA (1128 nucleotides) under Triticum aestivum (bread wheat). RNAcentral's name for it is "partial small subunit ribosomal RNA". The record is from RNAcentral. Lineage: Eukaryota; Viridiplantae; Streptophyta; Magnoliopsida; Poales; Poaceae.